GACGAACGCUGGCGGCGUGCUUAACACAUGCAAGUCGAACGGAAAGGCCCUGCUUUUGUGGGGUGCUCGAGUGGCGAACGGGUGAGUAACACGUGAGUAACCUGCCCUUGACUUUGGGAUAACUUCAGGAAACUGGGGCUAAUACCGGAUAGGAGCUCCUGCUGCAUGGUGGGGGUUGGAAAGUUUCGGCGGUUGGGGAUGGACUCGCGGCUUAUCAGCUUGUUGGUGGGGUAGUGGCUUACCAAGGCUUUGACGGGUAGCCGGCCUGAGAGGGUGGCCGGCCACAUUGGGACUGAGAUACGGCCCAGACUCCUACGGGAGGCAGCAGUGGGGAAUAUUGCACAAUGGGCGGAAGCCUGAUGCAGCAACGCCGCGUGCGGGAUGACGGCCUUCGGGUUGUAAACCGCUUUCGCCUGUGACGAAGCGUGAGUGACGGUAAUGGGUAGAGAAGCACCGGCUAACUACGUG
RNAcentral lists this ribosomal RNA (468 nucleotides) under uncultured bacterium. RNAcentral's name for it is "partial 16S ribosomal RNA". It matches the Rfam family "Bacterial small subunit ribosomal RNA", at positions 28 to 507 of the family's 1533-position model. The record is from RNAcentral.